Molecule: ribosomal RNA, 466 nt
Filed under: uncultured bacterium
Lineage: Bacteria
Description: partial 16S ribosomal RNA
Rfam family: Bacterial small subunit ribosomal RNA
Source: RNAcentral
GAUGAACGCUGGCGGCGUGCUUAACACAUGCAAGUCGAACGGAAAGGCCCUGCUUGCAGGGUACUCGAGUGGCGAACGGGUGAGUAACACGUGGGUGAUCUGCCCUGUACUUUGGGAUAAGCCUGGGAAACUGGGUCUAAUACCGAAUAUGACAAUUGUUUGGAUGCGAUUGUGGAAAGCUUUUGCGGUAUGGGAUGAGCUCGCGGCCUAUCAGCUUGUUGGUGGGGUAAUGGCCUACCAAGGCGUCGACGGGUAGCCGGCCUGAGAGGGUGUACGGCCACAUUGGGACUGAGGUACGGCCCAGACUCCUACGGGAGGCAGCAGUGGGGAAUAUUGCACAAUGGGCGCAAGCCUGAUGCAGCGACGCCGCGUGGGGGAUGACGGCCUUCGGGUUGUAAACUCCUUUCGCAACCGACGAAGCCUUUUGGUGACGGUAGGUUGAGAAGAAGCACCGGCUAACUACGUG